This is a long non-coding RNA of Ornithodoros turicata, 284 nucleotides long. RefSeq lists it as uncharacterized. The record is from RefSeq and is a predicted model, not a curated record. The transcript has 3 exons. Lineage: Eukaryota; Metazoa; Arthropoda; Arachnida; Ixodida; Argasidae.
CACAACAACUAGAGUCACUAAAUAAGCGUAGCUUAUUUAGUGACUCUAACAACAGCCGGACGCCGAACAUCGUGCGCGGACGAUCGUUGAGGAAGAAGGACGAAGUGGUCGUUGUAAAUCUCGUGAAUGCACGUAGCCAGUGUUUCGAUGCCAGAGCUGACUGAUGGGUGCACAUGGCUCCUUCGAAUGUUCUUCCUUUGAAAAAAUAAACAGGUUUUGAUGCCAGAGGUGAUUGGCGCAUUUUCAUCACUAUGUACAUAGAAAAUAAAUCCCGAUGUGACAAA